RNAcentral lists this ribosomal RNA (493 nucleotides) under uncultured bacterium. RNAcentral's name for it is "bacterial SSU rRNA". It matches the Rfam family "Bacterial small subunit ribosomal RNA", at positions 28 to 507 of the family's 1533-position model. The record is from RNAcentral.
GAUGAACGCUAGCGGCAGGCUUAAUACAUGCAAGUUGAGGGGCAGCAUGAUAUACGCGAGUAUAUUGAUGGCGACCGGCGGACGGGUGAGUAAUAGGUAGGAGACCUACCUCAUACAGGGGGAUAGCAUAGAGAAAUCUGUGGUAAUACCCCAUGAGGUUAUAUGAAUAGAGGCAUAUAAUCAAAGCAUAAGCGAUUAUGCGGUAUGAGAGGGGCCUACUGACCAUUAGCUAGUUGGUGAGGUAAGGGCUCACCAAGGCGAAGAUGGUUAGGGGUUUUGAGAGAGAGACCCCCCACAUUGGAACUGAGAGACGGUCCAGACUCCUACGGGAGGCAGCAGUAGGGAAUAUUGGGCAAUGGGCGAAAGCCUGACCCAGCCAUGCCGCGUGAAGGAAGACGGCCUUAUGGGUUGUAAACUUCUUUACUACGCGAAUAGAGGUUAGUACGAGAUACUAAUAGGAAGGUAGUGUAGUAAAAGCACCGGUAACUCCGUG